Regulatory RNA element from Gammaproteobacteria bacterium SCGC AG-212-F23, 155 nucleotides. The record is from Rfam. Lineage: Bacteria; Pseudomonadati; Pseudomonadota; Gammaproteobacteria.
UGGGGAUAAAGCGUCAGUGGAGUUGGGUAUGUUCGGAGUACAAUCGGGAAAGCAGGCAUGGAUGCCUGCUUUAGGAAAAACAGGCCAGGGACUGGCCUUUUUUUCCGACCGAUUGUGCGGAGAGCAUACCCAACUCCACUGACGAUUUAUCCCCC